UAGGGAAUCUUCCGCAAUGGGCGAAAGCCUGACGGAGCAACGCCGCGUGAGUGAUGAAGGUCUUCGGAUCGUAAAACUCUGUUAUUAGGGAAGAACAAAUGUGUAAGUAACUAUGCACGUCUUGACGGUACCUAAUCAGAAAGCCACGGCUAACUACGUGCCAGCAGCCGCGGUAAUACGUAGGUGGCAAGCGUUAUCCGGAAUUAUUGGGCGUAAAGCGCGCGUAGGCGGUUUUUUAAGUCUAAUGUGAAAGCCCACGGCUCAACCGUGGAGGGUCAUUGGAACUGGAAAACUUGAGUGCAGAAGAGGAAAGUGGAAUUCCAUGUGUGGCGGUGAAAUGCGCAGAGAUAUGGAGGAACACCAGUGGCGAAGGCGACUUUCUGGUCUGUAACUGACGCUGAUGUGCGAAAGCGUGGGGAUCAAACAGG
This 428-nucleotide ribosomal RNA is filed under the name Actinomycetes bacterium. RNAcentral's name for it is "Actinobacteria bacterium partial 16S ribosomal RNA". It matches the Rfam family "Bacterial small subunit ribosomal RNA", at positions 355 to 776 of the family's 1533-position model. The record is from RNAcentral. Lineage: Bacteria; Bacillati; Actinomycetota; Actinomycetes.